RNAcentral lists this ribosomal RNA (253 nucleotides) under uncultured bacterium. Its description in RNAcentral is "partial 16S ribosomal RNA". It matches the Rfam family "Bacterial small subunit ribosomal RNA", at positions 524 to 776 of the family's 1533-position model. The record is from RNAcentral.
UACGGAGGUGGCAAGCGUUACUCGGAUUCAUUGGGUGUAAAGGGCAAGUAGGCGGUCUAUUAAGUGAGGGGUGAAAUCUUCCGACUCAAUCGGGAAACUGCCUUUCAAACUGAUAGACUUGAGGGUGGAAGAGGAAAAUGGAAUUCUCGGUGUAAGGGUGAAAUCUGUAGAUAUCGAGAAGAACACCAGCGGCGAAGGCGAUUUUCUGGUCCACUCCUGACGCUAAAUUGCGAAAGCUAGGGGAGCAAACAGA